UACGUAGGGGGCAAGCGUUAUCCGGAUUUACUGGGUGUAAAGGGAGCGUAGACGGCUGUGCAAGUCAGAAGUGGAAGCCCGGGGCUCAACCGCGGGACUGCUUUUGAAACUGUGUAGCUAGAGUGCAGGAGAGGUAAGUGGAAUUCCUAGUGUAGCGGUGAAAUGCGUAGAUAUUAGGAGGAACACCGGUGGCGAAGGCGGCUUACUGGGCUGUAACUGACGUUGAGGCUCGAAAGCGUGGGGAGCAAACAGG
Molecule: ribosomal RNA, 253 nt
Filed under: uncultured bacterium
Lineage: Bacteria
Description: partial 16S ribosomal RNA
Rfam family: Bacterial small subunit ribosomal RNA
Source: RNAcentral